Molecule: ribosomal RNA, 492 nt
Filed under: uncultured bacterium
Lineage: Bacteria
Description: partial 16S ribosomal RNA
Rfam family: Bacterial small subunit ribosomal RNA
Source: RNAcentral
AGUGAACGCUGGCGGUAGGCCUAACACAUGCAAGUCGAACGGCAGCACAGUAAGAGCUUGCUCUUACGGGUGGCGAGUGGCGGACGGGUGAGGAAUACAUCGGAAUCUACUUUUUCGUGGGGGAUAACGUAGGGAAACUUACGCUAAUACCGCAUACGACCUACGGGUGAAAGCAGGGGAUCUUCGGACCUUGCGCGAUUGAAUGAGCCGAUGUCGGAUUAGCUAGUUGGCGGGGUAAAGGCCCACCAAGGCGACGAUCCGUAGCUGGUCUGAGAGGAUGAUCAGCCACACGGGAACUGAGACACGGUCCAGACUCCUACGGGGGGCAGCAGUGGGGAAUAUUGGACAAUGGGCGCAAGCCUGGUCCAGCCAUACCGCGUGGGUGAAGAAGGCCUUCGGGUUGUAAAGCCCUUUUGUUGGGAAAGAAAAGCAGCAGGUUAAUACCCCGCUGUUCUGACGGUACCCAAAGAAUAAGCACCGGCUAACUUCGUG